AUACAUGCAAGUCGAGCUGACAGAAGGGGAGCUGCUCCCGGAUGUAGCGGCGGACGGGUGAGUAACACGUGGGUAACCUGCCUGUAAGACUGGGAUAACUCCGGGAAACCGGAGCUAAUACCGGAUAGUUCCUUGAACCGCAUGGUUCAAGGAUGAAAGACGGUUUCGGCUGUCACUUACAGAUGGACCCGCGGCGCAUAGCUAGUUGGUGAGGUAACGGCUCACCAAGGCGACGAUGCGUAGCCGACCUGAGAGGGUGAUCGGCCACACUGGGACUGAGACACGGCCCAGACUCCUACGGGAGGCAGCAGUAGGGAAUCUUCCGCAAUGGACGAAAGUCUGACGGAGCAACGCCGCGUGAGUGAUGAAGGUUUUCGGAUCGUAAAGCUCUGUUGUUAGGGAAGAACAAGUGCAAGAGUAACUGCUUGCACCUUGACGGUACCUAACCAGAAAGCCACGGCUAACUACGUGCCAGCAGCCGCGGUAAUACGUAGGUGGCAAGCGUUGUCCGGAAUUAUUGGGCGUAAAGGGCUCGCAGGCGGUUUCUUAAGUCUGAUGUGAAAGCCCCCGGCUCAACCGGGGAGGGUCAUUGGAAACUGGGAAACUUGAGUGCAGAAGAGGAGAGUGGAAUUCCACGUGUAGCGGUGAAAUGCGUAGAGAUGUGGAGGAACACCAGUGGCGAAGGCGACUCUCUGGUCUGUAACUGACGCUGAGGAGCGAAAGCGUGGGGAGCGAACAGGAUUAGAUACCCUGGUAGUCCACGCCGUAAACGAUGAGUGCUAAGUGUUAGGGGGUUUCCGCCCCUUAGUGCUGCAGCUAACGCAUUAAGCACUCCGCCUGGGGAGUACGGUCGCAAGACUGAAACUCAAAGGAAUUGACGGGGGCCCGCACAAGCGGUGGAGCAUGUGGUUUAAUUCGAAGCAACGCGAAGAACCUUACCAGGUCUUGACAUCCUCUGACAACCCUAGAGAUAGGGCUUUCCCUUCGGGGACAGAGUGAC
RNAcentral lists this ribosomal RNA (1000 nucleotides) under Bacillus aerius. RNAcentral's name for it is "bacterial SSU rRNA". It matches the Rfam family "Bacterial small subunit ribosomal RNA", at positions 51 to 1035 of the family's 1533-position model. The record is from RNAcentral. Lineage: Bacteria; Bacillati; Bacillota; Bacilli; Caryophanales; Bacillaceae.